UCCGGUUUGUCACCGGCAGUCACCUUAGAGUGCCCAACUCAAUGCUGGCAACUAAGAUCAAGGGUUGCGCUCGUUGCGGGACUUAACCCAACAUCUCACGACACGAGCUGACGACAACCAUGCACCACCUGUCACUUUGCCCCCGAAGGGGAAGCCCAAUCUCUUGGGUGGUCAAAGGAUGUCAAGACCUGGUAAGGUUCUUCGCGUUGCUUCGAAUUAAACCACAUGCUCCACUGCUUGUGCGGGUCCCCGUCAAUUCCUUUGAGUUUUAGCCUUGCGGCCGUACUCCCCAGGCGGAGUGCUUAAUGCGUUAGCUGCGGCACAGAACGGGUUGAAGACCACCCCACACCUAGCACUCAACGUUUACGGCUGGGACUAC
Molecule: unclassified non-coding RNA, 379 nt
Filed under: uncultured Caryophanales bacterium
Lineage: Bacteria; Bacillati; Bacillota; Bacilli; Caryophanales
Description: uncultured Bacillales bacterium contains 16S-23S intergenic spacer region
Source: RNAcentral